RNAcentral lists this ribosomal RNA (330 nucleotides) under Triturus marmoratus (marbled newt). Its description in RNAcentral is "partial 12S ribosomal RNA". It matches the Rfam family "Bacterial small subunit ribosomal RNA", at positions 869 to 1369 of the family's 1533-position model. Lineage: Eukaryota; Metazoa; Chordata; Amphibia; Caudata; Salamandridae. The record is from RNAcentral.
CCGCCCGAGUACUACGAGCAACAGCUUAAAACUCAAAGGACUUGGCGGUGCUCUAUACCCCCCUAGAGGAGCCUGUUCUAUAAUCGAUAAUCCACGAUAAACCUCACCGCUUAUUGCCAAUACAGCCUAUAUACCACCGUCUAGCCCACCCUUCAAGGAACCAAAAGUAGGCACAAUCAUACACAUAAAAACGUCAGGUCAAGGUGUAGCAAAUAAAGCGGGAAGAAAUGGGCUACAUUUUCUAACCUAGAAAAUACGGAAAAGCUUAUGAAAUAAAACUACGAAGGAGGAUUUAGCAGUAAAAAGAAAAAAGAGCGUUCUUUUUAAACC